CCUACGGGUGGCAGCAGUGAGGAAUAUUGGUCAAUGGACGAGAGUCUGAACCAGCCCAGUAGCGUGAAGGAUGACUGCCCUAUGGGUUGUAAACUUCUUUUAUAUGGGAAUAAAACGUUCCACGUGUGGGAUUUUGUAUGUACCAUAUGACUAAGGAUCGGCUAACUCCGUGCCAGCAGCCGCGGUAAUACGGAGGAUCCGAGCGUUAUCCGGAUUUAUUGGGUUUAAAGGGAGCGUAGGUGGAUUGUUAAGUCAGUUGUGAAAGUUUGCGGCUCAACCGUAAAAUUGCAGUUGAAACUGGCAGUCUUGAGUACAGUAGAGGUGGGCGGAAUUCGUGGUGUAGCGGUGAAAUGCUUAGAUAUCACGAAGAACUCCGAUUGCGAAGGCAGUUCACUGGACUGCAACUGACACUGAGGCUCGAAAGUGUGGGUAUCAAACAGGAUUAGAUACCCCAGUAGUC
RNAcentral lists this ribosomal RNA (460 nucleotides) under uncultured bacterium. RNAcentral describes it as "partial 16S ribosomal RNA". It matches the Rfam family "Bacterial small subunit ribosomal RNA", at positions 338 to 795 of the family's 1533-position model. The record is from RNAcentral.